RNAcentral lists this ribosomal RNA (1450 nucleotides) under Limosilactobacillus fermentum. RNAcentral describes it as "bacterial SSU rRNA". It matches the Rfam family "Bacterial small subunit ribosomal RNA". Lineage: Bacteria; Bacillati; Bacillota; Bacilli; Lactobacillales; Lactobacillaceae. The record is from RNAcentral.
UGCAAGUCGAACGCGUUGGCCCAAUUGAUUGAUGGUGCUUGCACCUGAUUGAUUUUGGUCGCCAACGAGUGGCGGACGGGUGAGUAACACGUAGGUAACCUGCCCAGAAGCGGGGGACAACAUUUGGAAACAGAUGCUAAUACCGCAUAACAGCGUUGUUCGCAUGAACAACGCUUAAAAGAUGGCUUCUUGCUAUCACUUCUGGAUGGACCUGCGGUGCAUUAGCUUGUUGGUGGGGUAACGGCCUACCAAGGCGAUGAUGCAUAGCCGAGUUGAGAGACUGAUCGGCCACAAUGGGACUGAGACACGGCCCAUACUCCUACGGGAGGCAGCAGUAGGGAAUCUUCCACAAUGGGCGCAAGCCUGAUGGAGCAACACCGCGUGAGUGAAGAAGGGUUUCGGCUCGUAAAGCUCUGUUGUUAAAGAAGAACACGUAUGAGAGUAACUGUUCAUACGUUGACGGUAUUUAACCAGAAAGUCACGGCUAACUACGUGCCAGCAGCCGCGGUAAUACGUAGGUGGCAAGCGUUAUCCGGAUUUAUUGGGCGUAAAGAGAGUGCAGGCGGUUUUCUAAGUCUGAUGUGAAAGCCUUCGGCUUAACCGGAGAAGUGCAUCGGAAACUGGAUAACUUGAGUGCAGAAGAGGGUAGUGGAACUCCAUGUGUAGCGGUGGAAUGCGUAGAUAUAUGGAAGAACACCAGUGGCGAAGGCGGCUACCUGGUCUGCAACUGACGCUGAGACUCGAAAGCAUGGGUAGCGAACAGGAUUAGAUACCCUGGUAGUCCAUGCCGUAAACGAUGAGUGCUAGGUGUUGGAGGGUUUCCGCCCUUCAGUGCCGGAGCUAACGCAUUAAGCACUCCGCCUGGGGAGUACGACCGCAAGGUUGAAACUCAAAGGAAUUGACGGGGGCCCGCACAAGCGGUGGAGCAUGUGGUUUAAUUCGAAGCUACGCGAAGAACCUUACCAGGUCUUGACAUCUUGCGCCAACCCUAGAGAUAGGGCGUUUCCUUCGGGAACGCAAUGACAGGUGGUGCAUGGUCGUCGUCAGCUCGUGUCGUGAGAUGUUGGGUUAAGUCCCGCAACGAGCGCAACCCUUGUUACUAGUUGCCAGCAUUAAGUUGGGCACUCUAGUGAGACUGCCGGUGACAAACCGGAGGAAGGUGGGGACGACGUCAGAUCAUCAUGCCCCUUAUGACCUGGGCUACACACGUGCUACAAUGGACGGUACAACGAGUCGCGAACUCGCGAGGGCAAGCAAAUCUCUUAAAACCGUUCUCAGUUCGGACUGCAGGCUGCAACUCGCCUGCACGAAGUCGGAAUCGCUAGUAAUCGCGGAUCAGCAUGCCGCGGUGAAUACGUUCCCGGGCCUUGUACACACCGCCCGUCACACCAUGAGAGUUUGUAACACCCAAAGUCGGUGGGGUAACCUUUUAGGAGCCAGCCGCCUAAGG